AAGGAUGAAGCAAUUUUGCACCCAGUUUCGGCCUGGGUAAUGGGAAUUUCCCAUCCUUA
RNAcentral lists this transfer RNA (59 nucleotides) under Ornithodoros furcosus. RNAcentral's name for it is "tRNA-Arg". Lineage: Eukaryota; Metazoa; Arthropoda; Arachnida; Ixodida; Argasidae. The record is from RNAcentral.